Molecule: non-coding RNA, 82 nt
Organism: Pseudomonas syringae
Lineage: Bacteria; Pseudomonadati; Pseudomonadota; Gammaproteobacteria; Pseudomonadales; Pseudomonadaceae
Source: Rfam
GCGGAUGUGGUGGAAUUGGUAGACACACUGGAUUUAGGUUCCAGCGCCGCAAGGUGUGAGAGUUCGAGUCUCUCCGUCCGCA